ACGAACGCUGGCGGCGUGCUUAACCCCUGCAAGUCGAACGGAAAGGCCCCUUUGGGGGUACUCGAGUGGCGAACGGGUGAGUAACACGUGAGUAACCUGCCCUUGACUUCGGGAUAACUUCAGGAAACUGGGGCUAAUACCGGAUAGGAAUCCUUGCUGCAUGGUGGGGGUUGGAAAGCUUCGGCGGUUUUGGAUGGACUCGCGGCUUAUCAGCUUGUUGGUGGGGUAGUGGCUUACCAAGGCUUUGACGGGUAGCCGGCCUGAGAGGGCGACCGGCCACAUUGGGACUGAGAUACGGCCCAGACUCCUACGGGAGGCAGCAGUGGGGAAUAUUGCACAAUGGGCGGAAGCCUGAUGCAGCAACGCCGCGUGCGGGAGGACGGCCUUCGGGUUGUAAACCGCUUUCAGCAGGGGCGAAGCUUGUGGUGACGGUACCUGCAGAAGAAGCACCGGCUAACUACGUG
This 464-nucleotide ribosomal RNA is filed under the name uncultured bacterium. RNAcentral describes it as "partial 16S ribosomal RNA". It matches the Rfam family "Bacterial small subunit ribosomal RNA", at positions 29 to 507 of the family's 1533-position model. The record is from RNAcentral.